CUUCACAAAGUGUCUUGACAAUUCCAGCAUUGAUGUUGAAAAGGUCAUCCCUCGUCAUUCCAGGCUUCCUUGGAACACCAGCAGGUAUGAUCACAAGGUCCAUGCCGGUCAACGCACUCUCAAGCUGCGGCUGCCCUAGGAAACCACGUACCUAUAACCAAUAAAGCAUUCCACUUACUCUCGAUUUUUACAUAUAAUUGACAUAAUAAUUCGCUCUUCAUUCAAAAGCAUAGCCUAUGGUAUCUUAGAAAACUAGUUUUCACUGUUGAAUAAUUGAAGUCUCUGGAGGAGAAGUAAAUAUUACCACAGCACCAGUAUCCAUGUGACUGAGGUCAGCUGUGACACCAGGAGAGUUCACAACAUCGUAAAGAUGAAGAACCGAGACGAGAGGAUUCAUCUUCAUUAACAUUGCAAGAGGCUGGCCAAUGCC
Molecule: long non-coding RNA, 430 nt
Filed under: Gossypium barbadense (sea-island cotton)
Lineage: Eukaryota; Viridiplantae; Streptophyta; Magnoliopsida; Malvales; Malvaceae
Description: long non-coding RNA (GBAR_LNC000877)
Source: RNAcentral